Molecule: ribosomal RNA, 420 nt
Filed under: uncultured eukaryote
Lineage: Eukaryota
Description: eukaryotic LSU rRNA
Rfam family: Eukaryotic large subunit ribosomal RNA
Source: RNAcentral
AUCAAAUGAGAAUACCGGCUGAACUUAAGCAUAUCACUAAGCCGAGGAAAAGAAACUAACAAGGAUACCCUAAGUAACGGCGAGUGAACCGGGUAAUGCUCAAUCUUAAAAUCUGUGUCUCAAAUGAGGCAUCGAAUUGUUAGUUUUUGAUAAUCAUCCCCUCUUCUUUUAAUAUAAUUAAAGUCUCUUGGAAUAGAGUGUCAUAGAAGGUGAGAACCCUGUGAAUAGUUAUAUUAGAAGGAGGAUAUUGAGUUUGAUUAUCAUAGAGUCGGGUUGUUUGGGAAUGCAGCCUAAAAAGGGUGGUAAAUCUCAUCUAAAGCUAAAUAUUUGGUAAGAGACCGAUAGAAUACAAGUACCGUGAGGGAAAGAUGAAAAGAACUUUGAAAAGAGAGUUAAAAGUACUUGAAAUUGUUAACUGGG